RNAcentral lists this ribosomal RNA (1024 nucleotides) under Rhizophagus intraradices. RNAcentral describes it as "partial large subunit ribosomal RNA". It matches the Rfam family "Bacterial large subunit ribosomal RNA", at positions 786 to 1804 of the family's 2925-position model. The record is from RNAcentral. Lineage: Eukaryota; Fungi; Glomeromycota; Glomeromycetes; Glomerales; Glomeraceae.
CCGUUGCAAGGGACUCCGAAGAGCUGUGGCAAGGGGUGAAAAGCCAAUCUAACCUGGAGAUAGCUGGUCUUCUGCGAAACCCGUUUUAGCGGGUCGCCCAUUUAUUGAAAUUAAAUUCGUUACUAGACGGUACGGCACUGGAAGCCACGCAGCUUUUGCUGCAUAAUCGGGGGGCUGUCAUGGCUCUAUCGAUGGCUUCUAACCCCGGAAAUGUAUAGUAUACAAUGAUGGGCAAUCAGACGUAUCGUGAUAAGGCGAUUCGUCAAAAGGGCAACAGCCCAGAACAGGUGUGAAGGUCCCUAACAAGCUACUGAGUGAACACAAGGCAGUCCUCUCCAGUGUCUCUCCACAAAGUGGGCUUGGAAGCAGCCACCUUUUAGCGAUAGCGUAACAGCUCAGUGGUCUGAGCCUCCCUGUAAAAAGGGAAUAUUGCCUGGUGAGGGCGCCAAAAAUGUAACGGGUCUAUAGUAGUUGUCUCUCUGUUCCAGCUUUGGAUAUGGAGGGAGUGGCAGUUUCUUCACUGUCUCACCGAAACCCUGUCCUAGAUGUAAAAUUCUAGGGGUAGCAGAAUACCCAGCAAAUGGAAUGAAGCUUGCUCAUUGAGCCGGUGGACAUAGCUGGGCUAAGAAUGCUGACAUGAGUAGCCUAAAAGGAGGGUAAUUCCCUCUUCGCCGAAAGCAGAAGGGUUUCAUUUGUAAGGUCUAUACCUAGAUGAUUAAAGCAGCGGCCUCUAAGGUUCAGAGUAACAAAUUAGUUCCGAUGAGUAACUCUUCUAUAGGGCAGUAACCUUCCUUAUAAGUUUACCUUCAAGUAAUUAGAGGUAUACUUCAAAGAGUAAGGUUCGGGAAAGAGCCCUACAGAAUCAAUCUUAAAACCGUACCCUAAACCGACACAGGUCUGCAAGUAGAGCAUACUAAGGCGUAGAGAUAAUCGUCUUGAAGGAACUCGGCAAAAUGACCCCGUAACUUCGGGAGAAGGGGUGCCACUAAUAAGUGGCGGCACUAAACAGGGGGGCGCGACCACC